RNAcentral lists this long non-coding RNA (2297 nucleotides) under Bos indicus x Bos taurus (hybrid cattle). Its description in RNAcentral is "lncRNA (ENSBIXG00005003244.1)". The record is from RNAcentral. Lineage: Eukaryota; Metazoa; Chordata; Mammalia; Artiodactyla; Bovidae.
CCUCACUGCCACACCCCACCACAGCAAUCACCUGUCCUCCACCUGCUUUCUCUCUGGUGGUUCCUGCAGAGGCUGGCCUUUCCUCUAGUUCCUCCUGCCUGGUGCAGCUGUGCAGGUCAGGGUGCAAACCUGGAUGGAAAACAUCAGCAAAAGCUGGGAGGGCUGUUUGUGCUUCUGUGCCUUGUCCAGACUCUCCUCUGUGAUCGAUCACCCACCGGGCUUUCACUGAAAGAGGCAUGGUGGCUGGUGCAAAGAAGGAGGGGAUAGGUUCUGAGCUCAAGAAUCUUACAAUAGAACUGGGGAGGAAGCAGCAGACACAUGAGAGAUAGAAAAACUGGGUAUAAUGGUGGAGAGAAUUGGAAGCAACCUCAUUCUUGCUGAAAGAGCUGAGAGGCAAUGGAAGCUUCCAGCCCAGCCUUCUACGUCUCCAGCUACCCUUCCAGGUAUCAUCUCCUUGAACUUGGAAAAUUCCAGCAGCAGCUGGAAGCCAGGCAUUGGCUGCGAGAACAACAUUGGCUGGAUUUCAAGUUGCAUUCAGACCUUCACAGAGGGAAAUAUGUUGUGCUCUGGCUCCUUCUAAUCAAGACCACGUGCUCUAGGCCCCAUGGAGACAUAACUGGUGGAGUACUUUCUCUGAUAGUUCAUCUUGGGGAUUCAAAAGCAAAUACAAACUCAAGGUGGUAUGGAAUGGAUGCUGGCUGCCUGGGCUUAAAAGCAAUGCCCCUGGGUUCCCAAGGGGAUCACUUAUCCUCUGAAGGGGAAAAGCUGCCUCUCUGAGGGGAGAAGCUGCAAAGGGCACAGGAUUCUGACAUUUCUCUCUCCUCCCCUGAGAAAUACAGGAGCUUCUUGUAUGAAGAGCAAGAGGAAACUAGCCUGGGAUCCACUUCAAAAAGCCUCCAGGGGACACUGAAUGACAAGCUGGGCAUUUCUGCCAACAACUGCUGGCCAGAGGAGGCCCAGGAAAGGGCAGGUGUUCAUUGUAGACAGCUCUGGUGUGGUAGGAAUCUAGGGACCUGGGCUGUAACCCCGAUGGAGCCAUACAUUCCUUGUGUGAUCUGGGAGCAGGCUCCUCUUCACCCUGCUUCUUUCUCCCACCUACCCUGGGCCCUAGGAUUCAAAAUGAGGGAACCACCUCCUCUUUUAAUGGCUUUGGCUGUUCUGAAAUUCUGGGAUUCAAGGUUCAGCUCUUUAGAUGGUGGUCAAUACUUGAGGGAAAGCACCUCUGAGAGAGUUUGUGUGUGUGCAUGCUCAUUUGUGUCCAACUCUUUGCGACCUCAUGGACUCUAGCCCGCCAGGCUCCUCUGUCCAUGGGAUUCUCCAGGCAGGAGUACUGGAGUGGGUUGCAGUGCCCUCCUCUAGAGGAUCUUCCUGACCUAGGGAUCAAAUCCGCAUCUCUUGUGUCUCCUGCACUGUAGUUGGAUUCUUUACCACUGUGCUGCCUGGGAAGCCCAGAGAGUUCUUACCUCCUUCGAAUUAUACCUUAUUUGCAAAGUCAAUGUCCAGAGAUGUAGGCCCAUCCCCAGUUGGAUUUGCAUGAAGAGAAGCACCAAAUCACACAGCCCUCUUGCUUCCAUCAGGCAGCACUAUAUUUAUGUUCUCUGUAAGGGCUUUGGAAAGACCUAUAGGAAUGGAGAGGCUUCCCAGGUGGCGCUAGUGGUAAAGAACCUGCCUGCCAAGGCAGGAGAUACAAGAAAUGUGGAUUCAAUCCCUGGGGUCAGGAAGAUCCCCGGGAGAAGGAAAUGGCAACCCACUCAAGUAUUCUUGCCUGGAGAAUCCCAUAGAUUGGGGAGCCUGGUGGGGUACAUUCCAUAGGGUUGCACAGAGUCAAAUAUGACUUAGUGACUUAGCACACAUGCAUGAAUAUAGGAAUGGAGAGCCUAUGGUCCUGUGCUCAUCUAUUUCCGUUAAUUCGACCCCUUUGUCAUCAUUUAGUUUCUCUGUUAGCUGAAGUUUUUCAUGCUAUGAUUUGCAGGAGACAUGGGGUCUAAUCCUAGCUCACCUCUUACCUAAACUUUCGACCUUGGCAGUAGCCAUUUAAUCCCUGUUUGCACUAGGUUAUGAACCACGCAAGAAAAAUGGUCUUAAUGGUUUCACAGUUAUACUUGGAAGGAAGGGCAGGAGAGAGGGAGAAAGGGCAGGUAGAAUGAAGUAGGGUGGGGAAAGGAAUGGAGAAGAGAGGGAGUGGGUUGUUUUUUAGUUAAAAACUAUCACUGAGCUUGAUCACCACCAUAUUCUCUAGACUUGACUCUGAGUGACUUUUAGCUGUUUUCUAAAAUAAAAUCCACCCUCAAAGGACA